Molecule: non-coding RNA, 121 nt
Organism: Canis lupus familiaris (dog)
Lineage: Eukaryota; Metazoa; Chordata; Mammalia; Carnivora; Canidae
Source: Rfam
GCUCAGUGGUUUAGCACCUGCCUUUGGCUCAGGGCGUGAUCCCUGGAGUGUAAAGGUGAACCCACUGGGGCUGGCUGGGGGGAAGGAGGAAACUUGCUCCAGAAGGAACAGUCUGAGGGAU